UCAUGGAACUGGUCUUCAAAGAGUUGGGCAUCGUUCCGGUGGGUGCGAUUCCGGCACC
Molecule: transfer RNA, 58 nt
Filed under: Stygamoeba regulata
Lineage: Eukaryota; Discosea; Stygamoebida
Description: partial Selenocysteine transfer RNA
Source: RNAcentral